UAGCUAUUAAGUUGUUGGCUAUAUUACACAGUGGAUUUUGAUUCGGAUCAGUUAGAGCUAAUAGCAAUUUUCAGUAAAAUAUUAACCAAACACACACAAAAGUCGCUCGUGUGGCUCCAUCCUCUCCUUCAAUAGGAUUAAUCAAGUUAGCUAUUUACUCUUUCCACCACUCCAGUGUUUUCCCACCUUCCACUCCAAACAAGAAAAUGACACUAAAUUCAUUUAAUACAAAUUUAUAUUAUUGUCUGAGGCAUUUUAAACAAUGCUUAAUUUAAUUUUCUUGUUUGGAGUGUGGUAUUGGAGA
Molecule: long non-coding RNA, 304 nt
Filed under: Homo sapiens (human)
Lineage: Eukaryota; Metazoa; Chordata; Mammalia; Primates; Hominidae
Description: HSALNT0211492
Source: RNAcentral